CUACAUGUAGCUGGAGUUACUAGUAAUCGCAGAACAGAAUGCUGCGGUGAAUGCGUUCCCGGGUCUUGUACACACCGCCCGUCACACCGCAGGAGUUGGAUACGCCCGGAGCCGAUUAUCUAACCUUGUGGAAGAAGUCGUCGAAGGUGGAAUCAAUAACUGGGGUGAAGUCGUAACAAGGUCGCCGUAACGGAAGGUGCAGCUGGAUCAACUCCUUUCUAAGGAGA
This 227-nucleotide ribosomal RNA is filed under the name Clostridioides difficile. RNAcentral's name for it is "partial 16S ribosomal RNA". It matches the Rfam family "Bacterial small subunit ribosomal RNA", at positions 1316 to 1533 of the family's 1533-position model. The record is from RNAcentral. Lineage: Bacteria; Bacillati; Bacillota; Clostridia; Peptostreptococcales; Peptostreptococcaceae.